AUUGCACGCUGGCGGCAGGCCUAACACAUGCAAGUCGAACGGAGUGGCGGACGGGUGAGUAAUGUCUGGGAAACUGCCUGAUGGAGGGGGAUAACUACUGGAAACGGUAGCUAAUACCGCAUACUAUCAGAUGAGCCUAGGUCGGCUUAGCUAGUUGGUGGAGUAAAGGCCUACCAAGGCGACGAUCCGUAACUGGGCUGAGAGGAUGAUCAGUCACACUGGAAAUGAGACACGGUACAGACGCCUACGGGAGGCAGCAGUGGGGAAUAUUGGACAAUGGGCGAAAGCCUGAUCCAGCCAUGCCGAGUGUGUGAAGAAGGUCUUCGGAUUGUAAAGCACUUUAAGUUGGGAGGCGUUACCAACAGAAUAAGCACCGGCUAACUUCGUGCCAGCAGCCGCGGUAAUUC
Molecule: ribosomal RNA, 407 nt
Filed under: uncultured bacterium
Lineage: Bacteria
Description: partial 16S ribosomal RNA
Rfam family: Bacterial small subunit ribosomal RNA
Source: RNAcentral